This 218-nucleotide ribosomal RNA is filed under the name Campeiostachys nutans. RNAcentral's name for it is "Elymus nutans partial small subunit ribosomal RNA". The stretch from base 48 to 218 matches the Rfam family "Eukaryotic small subunit ribosomal RNA", at positions 693 to 864 of the family's 1831-position model. Lineage: Eukaryota; Viridiplantae; Streptophyta; Magnoliopsida; Poales; Poaceae. The record is from RNAcentral.
AAAUUUGUCCUAUGGUCGGGCUUUACGGUCCGUACAGUAGUGGCGAAUUUCUACCUUCUGAAGAACCUUCAUGUCAUUAAUUUGGUGUGUUGGGAAAUCAGGACUGUUACUUUGAAAAAAUUAGAGUGUUUAAAGCAGGCUAUAGUCUGAAUACAUUAGCAUGGAAUAAUGAAAUAGGACGGAUUGGUUCUAUUUUGUUGGUUUCUAGGAUCACCGUA